GAUGAACGCUGGCGGCGUGCCUAAUACAUGCAAGUCGAGCGAACGGACGAGAAGCUUGCUUCUCUGAUGUUAGCGGCGGACGGGUGAGUAACACGUGGAUAACCUACCUAUAAGACUGGGAUAACUUCGGGAAACCGGAGCUAAUACCGUAUAAUAUUUUGAACCGCAUGGUUCAAUAGUGAAAGACGGUCUUGCUGUCACUUAUCGAUGGAUCCGCGCUGCAUUAGCUAGUUGGUAAGGUAACGGCUUACCAAGGCAACGAUGCAUAGCCGACCUGAGAGGGUGAUCGGCCACACUGGAACUGAGACACGGUCCAGACGCCUACGGGAGGCAGCAGUAGGGAAUCUUCCGCAAUGGGCGAAAGCCUGACGGAGCAACGCCGCGUGAGUGAUGAAGGUCUUCGGAUCGUAAAACUCUGUUAUUAGGGAAGAACAUAUGUGUAAGUAACUGUGCACAUCUUGACGGUACCUAAUCAGAAAGCCACGGCUAACUACGUG
RNAcentral lists this ribosomal RNA (497 nucleotides) under uncultured bacterium. Its description in RNAcentral is "partial 16S ribosomal RNA". It matches the Rfam family "Bacterial small subunit ribosomal RNA", at positions 28 to 507 of the family's 1533-position model. The record is from RNAcentral.